RNAcentral lists this long non-coding RNA (856 nucleotides) under Bos indicus x Bos taurus (hybrid cattle). Its description in RNAcentral is "lncRNA (ENSBIXG00005025195.1)". Lineage: Eukaryota; Metazoa; Chordata; Mammalia; Artiodactyla; Bovidae. The record is from RNAcentral.
CGGGCUGAGUCGGGUCCUGUGGACGAGGCCUGGCCCGCAGAGGCCGCUGUGUCUCUGCACACAACGGCUGUCCAGGCCAGAGCAGCCAUAGUGUAGCCUGGAGCCCCCCCACCGCUCCCAGGGAGGGGAGGGGCCGCCUGAGAUCCCUCAGGAAAGACUGGAUUCCAGGAGGCCUGACCCUCCGAGGGGAACUCGUGUGCUGCCCACCUGCUUCCUGCCGGGGACUGUCGGCCACUGAGCCUUCCAGGACCGGAGCUGCAGGGGCGACGCAGCCAGAGGCUGAGAAGCAGAUUCUCCCUUCUGAGGGUCGGUUAAAGCUCAAAACCAGAGGCCUCCGUGGACCCCCACCUGUUUUUCCAAGCCCACCGUCCCUCCACCUCAUCUUCCGCCGUCCCAUUGCCCGCCAGCUCGUCAUUCAGCAUGGAUUUCCUGAGCCACCCCCAGGCACCAGCACCAUGGCUCAGGCGAUGUGCAGACAACAAAGAAAGAAAAUACGGAGACCUGCACGGAGUAAAGCUCACAGUCCGGAGCCUGAAUCCGCCGGCGGCGCAACAGGGGCCAGUUCAGAGCAGGCUGGUCUCGUCUCCUCCGGCCACCGCCCUCCCUCCCGGUCACUUGCAGGCAAUCCCCUGACUCCGCGUCAUCUGCCCCGGAGCCUCAGUACACAGGGCAUGUGGGGCCUCGGUGACCCUGAGGUCCAGUGCGUGCCCAGGAGGAAGGGCAAGCACUCAACUCUGUCCCUUUCUGAUUUAUUUUAUUCCUUUUCAGAAUAAUGAGCCCUAGCCUCCGACCAAGGCCCAGUGAGAAUUCUGUAGUAUUCUUUUAAAUAAAAUGGAUUUUAAAGAUAUUUGGUACA